UAGAUUUGCUAACCGUAUAUU
RNAcentral lists this non-coding RNA (21 nucleotides) under Caenorhabditis elegans. The record is from RNAcentral. Lineage: Eukaryota; Metazoa; Nematoda; Chromadorea; Rhabditida; Rhabditidae.